This 259-nucleotide ribosomal RNA is filed under the name uncultured prokaryote. Its description in RNAcentral is "partial 16S ribosomal RNA". It matches the Rfam family "Bacterial small subunit ribosomal RNA", at positions 524 to 782 of the family's 1533-position model. The record is from RNAcentral.
UACGUAGGUGGCAAGCGUUAUCCGGAAUUAUUGGGCGUAAAGAGCGCGCAGGUGGUUGAUUAAGUCUGAUGUGAAAGCCCACGGCUUAACCGUGGAGGGUCAUUGGAAACUGGUCAACUUGAGUGCAGAAGAGGGAAGUGGAAUUCCAUGUGUAGCGGUGAAAUGCGUAGAGAUGUGGAGGAACACCAGUGGCGAAGGCGACUCUCUGGACUGUAACUGACGCUGAGGCGUGAAAGCAUGGGUAGCGAACAGGAUUAGA